CAAAAGUUGUUUUUUUUCUUUUCAAGGGAGGAUUAAAGCCCCCUAGCGCCCCUGUAGAACCACGCCUCUACACAUUAGUCGCACGCUAAAUGUAAACAGUCUGUAUUAAAUUUUAUAGUUGAAAGAAACCAAUAUAGGCCUAAGUGGUAGCCUUGAUCAUUCAACGAUUGUCUUCCUUGUUUUAAUUUACAGAUGACACUCCGAGGAAUACAAACCAGUCUGUUGCCUUGCGAAUCAGACGGACCAGCACCAACAGUCUCUUUGCCCCAGUGAGUUCAGCCUAUUAUCAAACAACCACUGGAUCACUAGAUCGCAGGGUUGUGGAAAAUUCAGCUGACCGUUGGGAACACGACAACGAUGCACCCACUACUAGCAGUCAGCUGCCUGCUACAGAAAUGCUUUUUGAUCCUGAUGUCCAAGACAACAGGCCACACCCACCUGUAGCCCAGCCCAUUCGCUACCAGUCUCCUGUCCAUUACGAAGACAUCGAUCAGUACCUCGUACCAUCGCACUCCAUUCAUAUUAGAGAGUAUUCCACCUAUCUGGGGGAGGAUCGGCAGAAGAUCAACGGGCCAGAUUGAGAGGGCGAGAAGUGGAAUACUCUCGCUCAACCAUUCCGUGCUUAAAUGCAUCCUUCUCCGUCACGGAAAUGGCAGAUUUAACUCCAGUUUGGUCCUUUGCACACGUAAACGAUGCGCAUAACGUACUGUGCAAGCGAAACACCCAAAUGUAAUUAAGGACUACGGAUAUGAAACUUUAGUGUGCGUAAGCUUCUAAAUAGGCAGAGAUUGCAUGUAUGAAGUAAUUGAGACAAUGAAAAAAGUCAAGUCCGUUCCAACAGUCAAUCAUGCAAAGAAAUUUAGAUUAUUUGGAGAUGGCAAAAUUAAACUGAGUAUGUAAACUAUCCGUUGGCUUUUUGAACCAGAAAAUGUUCAAAUAAAGACAUUUGUAAUUGCAUCAUUCAAUUUGUGAUUAUUAAAAGAAUUUAAUACAUAGAAAUAUACAAAGCGCACGAUCAAGAAUGACUUUUUGCCCAGCAAAUAGCUUUUAUGUCAGUAGAUCUUUCCGUCUGUAUAUUCUUCACAGUGUAUUGUAUAUUAACUCGGGAUGUACUGUCCAUCUAUUAGUCGCAACGAUGAGGAGAAACAGAAAUGUAAUUGAUUUGUUGCAAUGUACAAGAUCGUAAUUCGGUGUUUAUGAAGCUAGCGUAUUGUAAUUUAUUGCUAAAAUAUUGAAUGCACUUCCAAGACGUAUUUGGCAGAACAUGUUUUAAAAAGAUUUUGAAGCCCCCUUCCAAUUCUGAGCUGUAAAAUUGAAUAAAAUAAAAUUGAGCCGUCGGUUGAAGCUGAACACACAUG
Molecule: long non-coding RNA, 1358 nt
Organism: Acanthaster planci (crown-of-thorns starfish)
Lineage: Eukaryota; Metazoa; Echinodermata; Asteroidea; Valvatida; Acanthasteridae
Source: RefSeq, a predicted model, not a curated record